GACUUGGAAAGAGAGAGACUUAAGGUUAUAGCACUAAAGUAUUAGAAAUUUAUUGAUUUUACUUUGUUGUUGUUGGGGUUUUUUGUUUGUUUUUUAUUAAAGGAUGAUUUUAGACGGUAUUGUGGAGCUAUUGCACGCAAGAGAAUUCGUCUGGGCAGAAAAUAUGUUAUUUCCCACAAACAAGAGAUUCCACUUAGCGUACACUGGGAUAUUCGCAACCAGGUAUCCCUGAGUGAUGACAAUGUGGAGGCUUUCAAAAAGUUGGUGGCCAAAAGUGGUUGGGAGAUCACCAGUGCUGUGGAAAAGGUAGGAGGCAUCCAGGUGUAUGCACAAACAACUCAUUAUA
Long non-coding RNA from Myotis davidii, 346 nucleotides. RefSeq lists it as uncharacterized. The record is from RefSeq and is a predicted model, not a curated record. The transcript has 3 exons. Lineage: Eukaryota; Metazoa; Chordata; Mammalia; Chiroptera; Vespertilionidae.